Molecule: long non-coding RNA, 3761 nt
Organism: Monomorium pharaonis (pharaoh ant)
Lineage: Eukaryota; Metazoa; Arthropoda; Insecta; Hymenoptera; Formicidae
Exons: 2
Source: RefSeq, a predicted model, not a curated record
GUAUUAAUUAAUGAUCCCUUAUAUUUUCAUAAUUAUUUUAAUUCAUAAAUUCGAUACUUUCAAAGGCAAUACGAAUUAAGAGACUCACAUGUUCAUCCAUUGCCCGACAAUGAUUCAUUCCUAAUAGGCACCCCUCGUAAGAUAAAGGAGGCGUAGACCUUUAUCGACCUAGCGACUACUUCGCAUCGAUAAUUAGAUCGAUAAAUGUCCAGUCAGCCGCUGCCGACUGAUGGCGCCGUGGCUAUUUUCUACGUUCCCCUUACCCCGUUCGGGAUGCCUAGAAACUCGAUUCAUUGUCGGGCAGUGUGCUAUUUAAGCAACUGAUGCCUUAAUUCGUAUAAAUAUUAUUUCGUCGCUUAUCAAAUAUUAAACAAGAACGAAUGACAAGUGCUAUGAGUGCCAAGGCGAACGCAGCCCAAGUGAGACGCAACGUCCGACAUAAAAUCUUUUUAGGAUCACAGCGUUGAAUAUCUCGACGAUAUUGCAUCGACGUUGCACCUCGAAAGAAUGUUUGCAAAGAGUGCAUUUAUUCGCAAGGGUCUUCAUAGAAGAGCACCGCUUCUCGUCGCGGCGGUGCGCUCCGCCAGGGAUUCUUUGUCCGGAGGAAUGCAACUGACCCUCUCCUCCUCCUUCUCUGCUCAACUCUCGUGUCCUCCCACCACCGCUGCAGCUGCAGUCACGCGUGGCACGCUCUGCACACGUGGAUCGCGCGUUUUCUAACUCGUUCGUGCUCGACUCUCUCCGGAUGCGCUCGCGAGACGAUGCCCACCACGUGUCCCUCGUCCCGGAGAUUGGAUCCCACGCGCAUUCGCGCUCGCACCGGGCGAUUCAUUAUCAACACGAGAAGUCGCUCGUGCAUCAUCGCGUCGCGCAAUUAAGCCGAUCACGCGAAUGACCCGCAGUAAUGGCUCGUGUUCAUUUAACAUUUGCUCGGUUAUUUUGCUCAAAAUUUUGAUUACACGAUAUACAAACCUGGGAACGGCCGUUAUUCCACAUUGCGGAGGCAAAAUGCGUGCUUUUGGCGAUACGUGUCGCAAUUAGAUAUCAUAAAGGUAAUAAUAGACGAUGGAGAAGCAGCGCGUUAUUAAAAGAUCGUAUUUUAUGGAAAUCACAAUUGAAUGAAAUUUUUUGAGUUUUCCUGCAGGCGAAAGCAUUUUUAAUAAUGUCUUUGCCGAGUUUUUUUUUACAGUUAAGUAAGAUUGAUAAUUAGUAUUUCUUUUUUGAAAUUAGACUUGAUCGCGCAAUUUGUUUUAAUUCAUCUAAUUGCAGGCAGCUUUAUGCGAUAAUAUUGGAGUACGAGCUUUUUCUCGAUGCAAAAUAAUACAAUACUAAUGAGCGUAUACAAAACCUUCCGAGAUUUAUGUUCCGAGACAUAGUUCCAUAUAUUUCACCCUAAUUCAUCAUCAUUCGAGCUUCCGAAAAGGCUGGCGGUAUAUCAUUCCUCGAAAAGUAAUUAAGAAUCCACCCCCUUCGGUCAAAUUCCGACACCCUAAUUGGAUGCAGGACAUAUCCUAUUAAUUUCUCUUGUACCGGUCCAUUUGACUAAUGAAUCUGUGGCAGCUAAUUGCUAUAGAGUUUCUACUGGAUACGAGAACGCACAACUCAUCCGCGUUACAAUAAAAUAAAUUAAAAGUGAAUGGAUGGUUAAAUCUGUUAAACAAAUCACAGUGUUAUAUAUAUUGUGUAUGAAAAUUGUGUUUAAAAUUAUUUGAAUUAUUUUAUCAAACUGUAAAUUUACAAAAAAAUAUUUUUAUUAUUAUAUUAUAAAACGUAGUUAUAUAUAAUUUUUUUAAUACUCUGCGCAAUCAAAUAUAUAAAUUGCAGCGAAAUUUAUAACGAUGUAACUACCGCAAUUAAGAUUCCCCUGACAAUCAAGUAUCACGAUUUCGGAACUGGAAACAGCGGAGUGUCGUAAUUAUCUCUGAAAUUACGAAAAAAUAACAGUUACUCAGCUUAGAUCGUAAAAUUGAACUAACGAGAAGCGCGGUAAAAUAGCAUUCAUCACACGCUAUAAAAAAGGGGGACCUAAAUGUGAGUAAAUGUGACGGAUGCAAGUUGUUAUACGUUUAAUUUUUGGCCACACACGAAUAGGUAUGUGUUUAAAAAAAAUCCUCAGGUAAGGAAAGUAUAUGAAACAAAAUAAAAUGUUCAAGUCAUAAGUUAACAAUAGUAAUUGAAAAACAAUGAUACAUGCAUGGGUCUAUGCAUGAACAAGAAUUUUGCCCUAAUAUAAAGAUAAACCUAAUAUCAGAUAAACAUUAUAUAAAAACUAUUAAAUUAGAUUAUUAAUAAAUAUUAUUUUAUAUACACACACACAUAUAUAUAUGCAUGCAUAAUACAACUGUGACAUAAUGCAUAAUUAUAAUUACGUUUUAUUCAGUACAUUGAAAUUGCAUAUUUAAUUAGUUUUUUUUCUUUUUCUAUUUGCCUUUAUUUUCAUAUUUUCUAAAAAUUAAUUUUACACUUAUCUAUUUAUUCUUUAUAUUUAUGUUUGGGAUAAAUAUUUAAAAAUUAAUACUAAAUCUAUCUCAAUAAGUUUCCCAAUUUUUUCUUCUUUCUUUUUAUUUUGAUUUUUAAAAAUUAGAUUUUUGUAUUUUAUUUUGAUUUCUCCUUAAUUCUUUAUUGCAUUAUUGGUAAAAAAAAAAUAUAUAUAUACAUAUGUAUAUUUAUAUGUGAAUGUGUAUAAAGCUUGUAUCUGUAGUAUCGUAGCCUAAACUAUGGAUCAAUGAUUCUGCAGAAGUCUACUGUAGUCCAACGAGUUAUGUAUUGCCCUCUAUCGCAGUUUUCUUUAAGCUUCAGUAAGUUUCGUUCAGAAUAUGAGAAACUAUUGAUAAUACAAGUAAAAUAUUUACCUUCAAAUGGUUAAUUAAAUAUAUUUUUCAUUAAUAAUUAAUUUUAUUUAAAAAUAUGGUUAUUUAAAAGUUUAAAAUAUACUGAGAUGGAUAAAUGAAGUAUGGGAAAUACAUUAAAUUAUUUCUUAAAUAACGGUUAUGAUCUUUAAUUAUAAACUUCAUGUUUGCAUCAUUUAGUUGUUUUUGAAAAUUUCUUUUGUUUAUAAAAAGUAAAAAGUUCAACUUAUUUAAAAUAGUAAAAUGUUAAACGCGUUUAAAUGAAAUGUAAAGCAAAUGUAAAAUAUUCACGUAUUAAUUUAUAUAAUUUAAGAUUCAUUAUUUUUAUAAUUAAUUGCAUAAAUAUAAAAUUUAUAAUCUAAUUGAUACAAUGAUAUAUGUAGUUUAAAUUAAUUUAAAGUUUAGUCUAUUUUAUCAUUUAAUCAGUAAUCGACGGGUGGUAACAACAUAAACGAUAAUAUCUCUUUUUGUACAUAACACAUUAUUUAUUAUUAAUAUUUAUUAAUUUAAUUAUUAAUUUUUAAUCUUGAUAAUAUUUUUCUUAUACAAAAAAAUAAUUUAAAAACUUGGUAAAUGCAAUAAAAGUUUUCUUUAAAGCACAUAAUAAAGUAACAGCAUCUGUCACGAAUUAAAUUAUUUGCCAUGUGUGUCAGCGCCCCACCGGACGUUAUUAAUAGAAAAUUAUUGUCCACCUGAACAAACGUUUCAAUACGAACUGAGACCGGAUCUUGUCCUUUUUGACUGACAAAACUUUCUCAUCUACCACUACAUUCUGCCAGGUGUUGAAGCAUCCAUGGGAAUUACACUGAUAACUCAUCGCUUAUUCUCACGAUGGUGGUUUGACAUUAUAAUAUGACAUUAUAAACAAACUAAUAAUUACUUUUUAUAAAAUGAGUAAUAACAAGAAAAAAA